AGCCCGGUGGUGUAGUGGUCAAUCAUGGGAGGCUCUGGACCUCUCGACUGCGGUUCGAAUCCGUACCGGGCUA
This is a non-coding RNA of Euryarchaeota archaeon 55_53, 73 nucleotides long. NCBI's taxonomy places the organism in Archaea, Methanobacteriati, Methanobacteriota. The record is from Rfam.